This 456-nucleotide long non-coding RNA is filed under the name Mytilus galloprovincialis (Mediterranean mussel). The record is from RNAcentral. Lineage: Eukaryota; Metazoa; Mollusca; Bivalvia; Mytilida; Mytilidae.
CUUUUUGAAAGAAAAGUUAUUAUCUCCCCCAUGGAAACUUCCUACAAACAUAUAUUGCAAUUUUACACAUAUUUUACUGAAUAUGAAAUGUUUUAAUUCACAUAAUGUCUGAUUCUUAUAAAUACUAGAACACACCCGUGAUAUCGCAGGUCCGUGACUGAAUUAAAGUAUAUAACUAUUAUAAACUUAUUUUAGUAUUAGUAUUGUCAUUUGAUAAAGUCAUGCCGAUUAUAAGAUACACAGUUUUCUCCGCUUUCAAAUCUUUCUGUUUGAACCCGUCGAACUGGAACUUAUCAAUUAUUGAUAAUAUUAAUUAUUUGGAAAACAAAAGGUCCUUGAAUGGAGUACUUUUUAAUCAACAGCAUUGUCCUAUAUUAGUCAUAAAUAAAGUUGAAUUCUUUGAUUCGCUGUUUUACGUCAUGCCCGCUAACAAAUUGAAAACUGUACCUAUACGCC